RNAcentral lists this ribosomal RNA (489 nucleotides) under uncultured bacterium. RNAcentral's name for it is "bacterial SSU rRNA". It matches the Rfam family "Bacterial small subunit ribosomal RNA", at positions 29 to 496 of the family's 1533-position model. The record is from RNAcentral.
AACGAACGCUGGCGGCGUGGAUAAGACAUGCAAGUCGAACGGGAACUUCAGCUGUAGCAAUACAGUUGAAGUUUUAGUGGCGAACGGGUGCGUAACACGUGGGCAAUCUGCCGAGAAGUGGGGGAUAGCUCGCCGAAAGGCGAAUUAAUACCGCAUAUGAUCAGCUAAGACAUCUUAGCGACAUCAAAGCCGGGGCAACCUGGCGCUUUUUGAGGAGCCCGCGGCCUAUCAGCUAGUUGGUGAGGUAACGGCUCACCAAGGCUAUGACGGGUAGCUGGUCUGAGAGGACGACCAGUCACACUGGAACUGAGACACGGUCCAGACACCUACGGGUGGCGGCAGUCGAGAAUUUUUCUCAAUGGGGCAACCCUGAAGGAGCGACGCCGCGUGGAGGAUGAAGGCUUUCGGGUUGUAAACUCCUGUCAUUUGAGAACAAGGUGCAUCGGUUAACUGCCGGUGCAUUGAUAGUAUCAGAAGAGGAAGAGACGG